UGGGGAAUCUUGCACAAUGGAGGAAACUCUGAUGCAGCGACGCCGCGUGAGCGAAGAAGCCUUUCGGGGUGUAAAGCUCUUACGCCAGGGACGAUAAUGACGGUACCUGGAGAAGCAGCUGCGGCUAACUACGUGCCAGCAGCCGCGGUAAUACGUAGGCAGCAAGCGUUGUUCGGAAUUACUGGGCGUAAAGGGUGCGUAGGCGGCGCUCUAAGUUCGGUGUGAAAUCUCCCGGCUUAACUGGGAGGGUGCGCCGAAGACUGGGAAGCUGGAGUGUGGGAAAGGCAGGCGGAAUUCCUGGUGUAGCGGUGAAAUGCGUAGAUAUCAGGAGGAACACCCGCGCUGUAGACGGCUUGCUAGACCAUAACUGACGCUGAGGCACGAAAGCGUGGGUA
This 395-nucleotide ribosomal RNA is filed under the name uncultured bacterium. RNAcentral's name for it is "bacterial SSU rRNA". It matches the Rfam family "Bacterial small subunit ribosomal RNA", at positions 355 to 767 of the family's 1533-position model. The record is from RNAcentral.